RNAcentral lists this long non-coding RNA (767 nucleotides) under Salmo salar (Atlantic salmon). RNAcentral's name for it is "lncRNA (ENSSSAG00000120788.1)". Lineage: Eukaryota; Metazoa; Chordata; Actinopteri; Salmoniformes; Salmonidae. The record is from RNAcentral.
CUCUCUUUAUCGAAAACAGAGGAUCUCUGCUGUAACGUGACACUUUCUAAGGCUCCCAUAGGCUCUCAGAAGGCGCCAGAACGUUGAAUGAUGACUUUGCAGCCCCUGCCUGAAAAACAGUAGCACAUUUGGAUAGUGGUCGAUCUGAGAACAAUGAGACGGGUGCGCGCGUGCACGUGAAGAGGCCAUUUUACAUUUUCAGUCUUUGAACGAAAAAGACGUUCAAAGACGAGAAAAAUCGCAUAAAAAUAGAUUUUAAACAGCGUUUGACAUGCUUCGAAGUACGGUAAUGGAAUAUUUUGAAAUGUUUUGUCACGAUACGCGUCCGCGCGUCACCGUUCGGAUAGUGUCUUGAACGCAAGAACAAAACAGAGGAUAUUUGAACAUAACUAUGGAUUAUUUUGAACCAAAACAACAUUUGUGGAUGAAGUAGAAGUCCUGGGAGUGCAUUCUGACGAAGAACAGCAAAGGUUCCCUUGGAGAGUUCAUCAAUGAGCUUGACGCCUUGAUAAGUUCCUUUCCUGAGGAUGGCUCACCUCUCACAGUUCUGGACCAUUUCCGGAGACCUUCUCCCCUACCUCACCUCGCUCAUCAACGCAUCCUUGACCGCUGGCUACGUCCCUUCCGUCUUCAAGAGAGCGAGAGUUGCACCCCUUCUGAAAAAAACCUACACUCGACCCCUCCGAUGUCAACAACUACAGGCCAGUAUCCCUUCUUUCCUUUCUCUCCAAAACUCUUGAACGCGCCGUGCUUGGCCAGCUCUCUUG